RNAcentral lists this transfer RNA (71 nucleotides) under Marmota monax (woodchuck). Its description in RNAcentral is "tRNA.Ala". Lineage: Eukaryota; Metazoa; Chordata; Mammalia; Rodentia; Sciuridae. The record is from RNAcentral.
GGGGAUGUAGCUUGGUGGUAGAGAACGUGCCUAGCAUGCACAAGGCCCUGCAUUCGAUUCCCAGCACUUCA